This 534-nucleotide ribosomal RNA is filed under the name uncultured bacterium. RNAcentral's name for it is "bacterial SSU rRNA". It matches the Rfam family "Bacterial small subunit ribosomal RNA", at positions 1 to 542 of the family's 1533-position model. The record is from RNAcentral.
UAGAGUUUGAUCCUGGCUCAGGACGAACGCUGGCGGCGUGCCUAACACAUGCAAGUCGAACGGGGCCCGCAAGGGUUCAGUGGCGAACGGGUGCGUAACACGUGAAGAACUUGUCCAUCGGCGGGGGAUAGCCGGCCCAACGGCCGGGUAAUACCGCGUACGCCGUCUGAAGCGCAUGCUUCGGCCGGGAAAGCAGCAAUGCACCGAUGGAGAGCUUCGCGGCCUAUCAGCUAGUUGGCGGGGUAAUGGCCCACCAAGGCGACGACGGGUAGCUGGUCUGAGAGGAUGACCAGCCACAUUGGGACUGAGACACGGCCCAGACUCCUACGGGAGGCAGCAGUGGGGAAUAUUGCGCAAUGGGCUAACGCCUGACGCAGCAACGCCGCGUGGAGGAUGAAGGUCUUUGGAUUGUAAACUCCUGUCGACCGGGAAAAAGCGACUCGACCUAACACGUCGGGGAGUUGAUUGUACCGGUGGAGGAAGCCCCGGCUAACUCUGUGCCAGCAGCCGCGGUAAUAGUCGGGCCCAAUCGCC